UCACUAGCUGAUACACUCACUUCUGUCUCGCUCACUCACUCACUUUUAGUCCAUGUUACCUUUUCCAGUGUAGACCACCCGAAAAUUAUGGGACUAAGUGUUUUGUGCUUACCAACUUGUUACGUCGGUUUUGAUUAUUUGGGUAUUGAUUCUUCAGGUUUUUUCCCACGAUCAACCCAUUGGUUUUGCCUCCUACUAUGGCAACCACAUGGUGCUGCAGAAGUCUCCGGAGAGAGCCAUUCUGUGGGGUUACGGCAGGCCUGAGGGUGCCCAGGUCACAGUCUACUUGUCAGGACCAAUGAAAUACAACAGCUCACCAGU
Syngnathus acus (greater pipefish) is the source of this 321-nucleotide long non-coding RNA. RefSeq lists it as uncharacterized. The record is from RefSeq and is a predicted model, not a curated record. The transcript has 3 exons. NCBI's taxonomy places the organism in Eukaryota, Metazoa, Chordata, Actinopteri, Syngnathiformes, Syngnathidae.